This 117-nucleotide non-coding RNA is filed under the name Pan paniscus (pygmy chimpanzee). Lineage: Eukaryota; Metazoa; Chordata; Mammalia; Primates; Hominidae. The record is from Rfam by way of RNAcentral. RNAcentral also lists the same sequence under 1 other name.
GCCGGGCGCAGUGGCUUACGCCUGUAAUCCCAGCACUUUGGGAGGCUGAGGCGGGUGGAUCACCUGAGGUCAGGAUUUAGAGACCAGCCUGACCAACAUGGUGAAACCCCGUCUCUA